GACGAACGCUGGCGGCGUGCCUAAUACAUGCAAGUCGAACGAGAGCGACCGGUGCUUGCACUGGUCAAUCUAGUGGCGAACGGGUGAGUAACACGUGGGUAACCUGCCCAUCAGAGGGGGAUAACAUCCGGAAACGGAUGCUAAAACCGCAUAGGUCUUCGAGCCGCAUGGCUUGAAGAGGAAAAGAGGCGCAAGCUUCUGCUGAUGGAUGGACCCGCGGUGCAUUAGCUAGUUGGUGAGGUAACGGCUCACCAAGGCCGUGAUGCAUAGCCGACCUGAGAGGGUGAUCGGCCACAUUGGGACUGAGACACGGCCCAAACUCCUACGGGAGGCAGCAGUAGGGAAUCUUCCGCAAUGGACGCAAGUCUGACGGAGCAACGCCGCGUGAGUGAAGAAGGUUUUCGGAUCGUAAAACUCUGUUGUUAGAGAAGAACAAGUGCUAGAGUAACUGUUAGCGCCUUGACGGUAUCUAACCAGAAAGCCAC
RNAcentral lists this ribosomal RNA (485 nucleotides) under Granulicatella adiacens. RNAcentral describes it as "bacterial SSU rRNA". It matches the Rfam family "Bacterial small subunit ribosomal RNA", at positions 28 to 494 of the family's 1533-position model. Lineage: Bacteria; Bacillati; Bacillota; Bacilli; Lactobacillales; Carnobacteriaceae. The record is from RNAcentral.